GCUGAUGUGGCUCAGUGGUAGAGCAGCGCACUCGUAAUGCGCAGGUCGCCGGUUCGAAUCCGGCCAUCAGCUCCA
RNAcentral lists this transfer RNA (75 nucleotides) under Tepidanaerobacter syntrophicus. Its description in RNAcentral is "tRNA_Thr". It matches the Rfam family "tRNA". Rfam says of the family: Transfer RNA (tRNA) molecules are approximately 80 nucleotides in length. Their secondary structure includes four short double-helical elements and three loops (D, anti-codon, and T loops). Further hydrogen bonds mediate the characteristic L-shaped molecular structure. tRNAs have two regions of fundamental functional importance: the anti-codon, which is responsible for specific mRNA codon recognition, and the 3' end, to which the tRNAs corresponding amino acid is attached (by aminoacyl-tRNA synthetases). tRNAs cope with the degeneracy of the genetic code in two manners: having more than one tRNA (with a specific anti-codon) for a particular amino acid; and 'wobble' base-pairing, i.e. permitting non-standard base-pairing at the 3rd anti-codon position. RNAcentral also lists the same sequence under 4 other names. Lineage: Bacteria; Bacillati; Bacillota; Clostridia; Thermosediminibacterales; Tepidanaerobacteraceae. The record is from RNAcentral.